This 465-nucleotide ribosomal RNA is filed under the name uncultured bacterium. Its description in RNAcentral is "partial 16S ribosomal RNA". It matches the Rfam family "Bacterial small subunit ribosomal RNA", at positions 339 to 795 of the family's 1533-position model. The record is from RNAcentral.
CUACGGGUGGCUCCAGUGGGGAAUAUUGGACGAUGGGGGAAACCCUGAUCCAGCAAUGCCGCGUGUGUGAAGAAGGCCUGCGGGUUGUAAAGCACUUUCGGUUGGGAGGACUGCUUCUAGCACUAAUAUUGUUGGAAGUUGACGUUACCUUCAGAAGAAGCACCGGCUAACUCCGUGCCAGCAGCCGCGGUAAUACGGAGGGUGCAAGCGUGAAUCGGAAUUACUGGGCGUAAAGCGCGCGUAGGCGGCUAGAUCAGUCGGGUGUGAAAGCCCCGGGCUUAACCUGGGAACUGCAUCCGAUACUGUCUAGCUUGAGUACAGGAGAGGAGAGUGGAAUUCCACAUGUAGCGGUGAAAUGCGUAGAUAUGUGGAGGAACACCAAUGGCGAAGGCAGCUCUCUGGCCUGAUACUGACGCUGAGGUGCGAAAGCGUGGGGAGCAAACAGGAUUAGAUACCCCUGUAGUC